AUAUUAUCAAACCUAUUAUUGACAAAAUACAUAGCGAUAUGUUUCCUGUUUUGAUCCGCACAACUACAUAUUUUUAUAUUUAAAUAAUGUAUUUCUUAAGUAAAUUUAAAGAUAAUUUAUUAUUUGGGCUGCUAGUUUUACAUACAUUUCUAGUUACAAAAGUCACCUAGCAUAUGUGUAAAUCAUGCAAUAUAUAAAGGCAGUUAUAAACUUAUAAAUAUAAUUUAUAAAGACGUAUCAUAUUAAAACUAAUUUUAUAUUACAGGAUUCUGCCAAUUAUUCUUACAUUAUUCGGACAACUGUUCUUCUUAAAAUUUAAAAGAACGUAAAGAAUAACUGAAGUUUAUAAAAGCUGAAGAAAUUUUCACAAGGAUUAGAACAGAAAACUAAACUCAAAUGGAAGCGCUUGCACUCUUAUGUCACUAUCAUGUCCUGACAAUUUCGGAUUUUAUAAAACUAUAGGAGAUGUUGUGAUUGACGUUGAGAUUGUGAUUGACAUCUGGAGCAGAGCUAUAAUUUUGUUUAACAUUACGUGAAGUUUAUUUAAUGUUUUUCUCUUAUUUUCCCUCGUUUUUUGUUUUUAAAAGUUAUUUUUAAAAUAUUUUACUAAUCAUAAAGUAUAAUAUGUAUAUAUUUGUUUAGAUAUAAGCCUAUUUUGCUGAUAAAUAUGUGUUAAAUAUAUUAAGAAGUUUAUUAAAAAGACUA
Molecule: long non-coding RNA, 705 nt
Organism: Monomorium pharaonis (pharaoh ant)
Lineage: Eukaryota; Metazoa; Arthropoda; Insecta; Hymenoptera; Formicidae
Exons: 2
Source: RefSeq, a predicted model, not a curated record